Molecule: ribosomal RNA, 253 nt
Filed under: uncultured bacterium
Lineage: Bacteria
Description: partial 16S ribosomal RNA
Rfam family: Bacterial small subunit ribosomal RNA
Source: RNAcentral
UACGUAGGGGGCAAGCGUUGUCCGGAAUCAUUGGGCGUAAAGAGCGUGUAGGCGGUUCGGUAAGUCGGCUGUGAAAGUCCAGGGCUCAACCCUGGGAUGCCGGUCGAUACUGCCGGACUAGAGUUCGGAAGAGGCGAGUGGAAUUCCCGGUGUAGCGGUGAAAUGCGCAGAUAUCAGGAGGAACACCGGUGGCGAAGGCAGGUCUCUGGGCAUUAACUGACGCUGAGGAGCGAAAGCAUGGGGAGCGAACAGG